RNAcentral lists this ribosomal RNA (398 nucleotides) under uncultured bacterium. RNAcentral's name for it is "partial 16S ribosomal RNA". It matches the Rfam family "Bacterial small subunit ribosomal RNA", at positions 523 to 918 of the family's 1533-position model. The record is from RNAcentral.
AUACGUAGGGUGCGAGCGUUGUCCGGAAUUACUGGGCGUAAAGAGCUCGUAGGUGGUUUGUCGCGUCGUCUGUGAAAUUCCGGGGCUUAACUCCGGGCGUGCAGGCGAUACGGGCAUAACUUGAGUACUGUAGGGGAGACUGGAAUUCCUGGUGUAGCGGUGAAAUGCGCAGAUAUCAGGAGGAACACCGGUGGCGAAGGGGGCUCUCUGGGCAGUAACUGACGCUGAGGAGCGAAAGCAUGGGUAGCGAACAGGAUUAGAUACCCUGGUAGUCCAUGCCGUAAACGGUGGGAGCUGGGUGUAGGGGUCUACCACGAGUUCUGUGCCGUAGCUAACGCAUUAAGCGCCCCGCCUGGGGAGUACGGCCGCAAGGCUAAAACUCAAAGGAAUUGACGGGG